RNAcentral lists this ribosomal RNA (232 nucleotides) under uncultured bacterium. RNAcentral describes it as "partial 16S ribosomal RNA". It matches the Rfam family "Bacterial small subunit ribosomal RNA", at positions 89 to 334 of the family's 1533-position model. The record is from RNAcentral.
AAUUUAGUGGCGGACGGGUGAGUAACGCGUAAGAACCUACCUUUAGGAGGGGGACAACAGCUGGAAACGGUUGCUAAUACCCCAUAUGCUGAGGAGUAAAAUGGUGUAAUAACCGCCUAAAGAUGGGCUUGCGUCUGAUUAGCUAGUUGGUAAGGUAAAGGCUUACCAAGGCAACGAUCAGUAGCUGGUCUGAGAGGAUGAUCAGCCACACUGGGACUGAGACACGGCCCAG